RNAcentral lists this long non-coding RNA (16440 nucleotides) under Homo sapiens (human). Its description in RNAcentral is "non-protein coding lnc-CIT-11:1". The record is from RNAcentral. Lineage: Eukaryota; Metazoa; Chordata; Mammalia; Primates; Hominidae.
AGGCCCUGCUGGUUGAGCUGGGAGACUCAGUCCCAAGGCUUUGAACAGACACGUAAUUUCAAUGAUGUUGGGGUUGGGGGGACCAUAAGCUCGCACAAUCCUAAAUCCCAGCCCCAAGGAGGCCUAGGGAGAGCCUGAGGCUCGAAUGAGUAAGAAUGGGAGUGGGAACGAGGAUGAAGGUGGGUCCCCCUUGCCCCCUGGCCUCACCUGGUUAUCCUCCGGGCCUCCAGGUGGCUCGGGGAGUCUCUCCGGCGCUUUCUCAUAGGCGAGUAGGACCGACGUCUCCGACGCGCUCGCUCGCGCUCCCGCUGCUGCGAGUCCUUCUCACUGUAUUUGGGAUCCCGCUCCCUGAAGGGGCGCGGGGGGUUACUGGGGAGCUGGGGCUGGGCUGGAUUUUCUGCGUGAGCGCGUGGGAGAGGGACACUCCCUUUCUUUCCCACCCCACUGGGUCACGGGAUGGGGUCUGCACGUUGCCGCAAGGGAGACCGGAGGGAGGAUGACGGGGCUGCGAUGCCACAUCUUUCUCAACUCUGGAGUUCAAUGGUAACACAUGUAUCUCCACCACCUCUGUCAGGAAUGUAUCAUGCCAGGCAACUAGACCCUGAGAUCUGCGAUCUCUGGCUUGGGCUUGGUACAAAGAUGGGAUCAUGGAAUCUUUGCCCCAGAGAUGGUGAGUGGUUGGUAGCCAGUGUAUUACAAGUGAAUCCAACAAGCCCAUCCUGGAGGGAGCUAGGCUGGAAGAACUCAAGGACAGGGGCCUGUGAGUACAAUAAUUUUCAUUAUCUUGUGGUUUGCUACCUGGAGGCUGCCAGGCUGGGCCUUUCUCUCCCAAGUACUUGUUCCUAGUCUUGACUACGAAUUUCAUUUUUCCUGGUGCACCAUGGAUCCCCGUAGGCAAGGAUUUCUUGAAUGUGAGGCCCCUCUGGGCUAGUGGAUAUAGAAGUGGAUCUAGCCUUGUUCAUCUUCUCAACCCAACACUCUGAGCUCACAGGGAUACUUUCAGAGUAUCACCACCUGGCUCUGACUUAUCCACAUGUAACUUGUGUGGUCAGAACUGAGAAAUCUACAAGGCAUUAUGCUUUUCCAUCAUCACCAGAAAACAGGGAUAAAGGCACUAUUGAAAUGUUCUCAUUGGGUUAAAUUUGGUGCCUGAAAAUACCAACCUCUCCUGCAUGUUUAAAAAUCCCAUUUCUUUGAAUGGAUCUAAACUCUUUGACAUGGAUGACAGUGUUUUUUACAGCCCGGUCCUGCCUACUUCACAAAUAGCAUCUCUUCCACACCAUCCCACCCUGGCCCCCACAGCCUAAGCUGACUGAUUCAGAUUCGAGUUUUCUUGGUUCUGCCAUCCCAUCUUGUUCUAACCCCAGGCCAUUUGCACAUGCCAUUUCCUCUGCCUAGAAUACUCCUCUCUUCCCCACUUCACAUGGCUAAAUUUAUUCAUCCUCCAGGUGUCCUAUCACCUCUUCUAGAAAGCCUUCUCUCAUCCUCCAGACCAGGAUAGCACAAUACACUGCACUUCAUUCAUUCACUGAAUCUUGAAUUCACUCACUCAUUCAAAAAUGAGUGUCAUUUGUUUGCCACAGCCCUGUUCCUCAGUACAGUAGUUGCUUAUUUUAUUGGCCGUCUCUCUGACUGGGUUUGGAGCUUGCUGAGGGCAGGGCCAUGACUGGUUCAAUGUUGCACCCCAGCAUUCACCAAUGCCUGGCACAGAGUAGGCACUCAGUAAAUUUUGCCUAAUGAACAAGUUUGCUCUCCGGUCCUUUGAAAGCCUCUGUGGGCCUGCCUGACUUCAUUUAUUGUAGAGACAACUGGGUGAUCAGGCCCAGGUGGGAUCCAGCUGGGUGUCUGCCAGCUUUGGGAAUUUGAGAAGAAACCAGCCUCCAUCACACUGAGAAUCGUUCUAGGAAACUUGGAGACCCCUGGCUGAAGCUUGGGGUCUCAAGACCAGCUCGGCUGGGUGUGUGAGCUCGAGAGAACCUCUAGAAUCAAAUAUUUAUUUUUAUUGAUAUAUAAUAGAUGUACAUAUUUUUGGAAUAUAUGUGAUAUUUCGAUACAUUCACAUAAUGUGUAAUGAUCAGAUCAGGGUAAUAGAGAUAGAUAUCCAUCACCUUAAACAUUUAUCUUUUCUUUAUGCUGGGAGCAUUCAAAUUAUUCUCUUCUAAGACCGAGCAUGGUGGCUCACGCCUGUAAUCCCAACACUCUGGGAGGCCGAAGUGGGUGGAUUACUUGAGGUCAGGAGUUCGAGACCAGGCUGGCCAACAUGGCGAAACCUUGUCUCUACCAAAAACUACAAAAAUUAGCCGGGUGUGGUGGCAUGUGCCUGUAGUCCUAGCUAGUUGGGAGGCUGAGGUGGGAGAGUUUCUUGAACCUGGGAGGUGGAGGCUACAGUGAACCAAGAUCACACCACUGCACUCCAGCCUGAGCCAAAAAAAAUUAUUCUCUUCUAGUUACUUUGAAAUAUAAAAUAGAUUAUUGUUUACUAGAGCCACUCUACUGUGCUAUUGAACAGAAGGUCUUAGAAGAAAGUUUGAGGUCCAGACCCCUGGCAGAGAGAAAGAAAGCCCUCUGUUCUUUCUCUCAUUCCCCCUGAUACCCCUCAGACCGAGGACCCUGGGAGAAAGCACCCAGAGGCUCUGCACAGAUUCUCAACAGCAUAAGCUGCAGCCUUCAGGUGAGAAGUUUCCGACCUGCAAAACCUUUCAGAUGAAACAAGCUGUGCUGGGUCUUCUUACUUCUUAUUCCACUCUCUGCUACUAUGGGAGCUCAAGUUCAAAGAUGGACUGAGUUCAGUCAUUUGCAUGCAGCAAGGCUGCCAGCCUGCAUAGUGACUUUGUUCCUAUUAGGAAAAGGUACUCCUAUAGAGAAUGGAAUGAUGGUUACUAGAGACUGGGAAGGGUAGUGGGAAGUGGAGUAUAAAGUAGGCAUGGUUACUGGGUACAAAAAUGCAAUUAGAGAGAAUAAAUGAGAUCUAGUAUUUGGUAGCACAUCAGGACGACUAUAGUUAACAAUAAUUUUUUUUUUUUUUUUGAGACAGAGUCUCGCUCUGUUGCCCAGGCUGGAGUGCAAUGGCAUGAUCUCCGCUCACUGCAGCCUUCACCUCCUGGGUUCAAGCGAUUCUCCUGCUUCAGCCUUCCAGGUAGCUGGGAUUACGGGUGCCUGCCACCACGCCCAGGUAAUUUUUUUUGUAUUUUUAGUAGAGACAGGGUUUUGCCAUGUUGGCCAGGCUGGUCUCGAACUCCUGAUCUCAGGUGAUCUGUUCCGCCUCAGCCUCCCAAAGUGCUGGGAUUACAGGCGUGAGCCACUGCACCCGGCAGAAUUAGCAAUAAUUUUUCUUAUAUUUUAAAAUAACUAAAAGAGUGUAAUUGGAAUGUUUCUAACACAAAGAAAUGAUACAUGCUUGAGGAGAUGGAUGCACAAUUACCCUGAUUUGAUCCUUACAUAGUGUAUGCCUGUAUGGAAACAUCACAUAUACCCUGUAAAUAUAUACAACUAUUAUGUAGCCAUAAUAAUUAAAUUUUUUAAAUGAAAAAAAAAGGUGCUCCUUAUGGGUCAAGAAUUAGAAAAAGGUGCCCUUUCUGGCCAGAAAGAUUAGAAAAGAGAUAGUACACCUUUUUCUGGGCUGAAGCAGUCCUGCAUCUGUAUUCAGAGCUUAGUAAAUGGAGGGCAGGGGGGUUUUGAUCUGCCAGUUGCUCUCCAUGCUGGUCACCCUCUCAAAGGGGACAACCAGCAUGACAUCAUGUCCCUAGCGGGUAUAUCUGGAGUGAGUAAAUCGUCUUACUCCAUCUGGCCUACUUAGAAGAUUCCUCUGGCAGAGAGGAGGUGGUAACCUGAAGACAUUCAUUCCUGCUUCUUUUCAGCUGAACUCUACUUGGUAUUGUCUUUACAAAUCUUGAUGUGCUCUGUUUAUCCUUCCAGGUGGUAGGAGCAUUUUCACAAAGUCAUCAUCAGAGAUAUUCAGAUAGUUUAAUGGUCUCCUAAACCCCAGACUCCACCUUCUGCAGAGCUCUCCAUUCACUCCACAAGAAGAGGAGGAAAGAAGAUACAAUUGAGGGAAGCCCAAGACAGGAUGGGAGAGGUCUGACCGUGGAAGUGCAGAGGAGACAUUAGAGUUGUGAGCAUCUGAUGGGCUGAAAAAGGGGCCUCCCAUGGUCUUGCCUCUGCCCUUCCAUCCCUGGGUAUUGCCUUCCUAGUCAGCCACUCUCUCUGGCACAUAAGGUGCAAACAGUCACCCCCCUCCGACAUUGAUACAACAGGAUGGUUCUCCUUUGCUUCUUUUUGCCUCCUUAUUUAUAUAAUAGGCCUCUCAUAAUUCAUCUUUGAAGAGCUCCUCUUCAUGCAUUGGGAGUUUCUCUCUGUGCAUGCAACUGCUCUUUGUCCCAAGAUACUUAUUAGCAAGAGCCACUCCAGAUCCUCUGUCAUCUGGUAAUAAUGCCCUCCAGGUACCCAGGACCCCCUUUUAAGAGCUGGAACCCUUACACCAGGGUUCUCUUCCUUGGUCCAAUUUUACCUCUUCUUCCAUCUCAGCCCUCACCCUCCAUGAUGUCUACAUAAAAGCCUACUUUCGGGGUAUGGCAUGAAAAUCCAGCUUCCACAAGAUCUACUUAAUGGCCAAAUGAAAUAAUGCCUGUCUAAUCUGGAUUCUUAGAAGUCGAGAUGGAAAAUGAGUGCUAAUAAUUUGAGAGGGCAAGGAACCUCUGUAAUGGAGUGUGGAAAUGAUGCAGAGGAGAGAGGGAGACAAUAAAAGAUGCAUUAUCAAACCAGCUAUUACAGUGGGCAGUGGAUGCUUAAUCUCAGUGAGGACACCCUGGGAACCAGUGUAGAACAUGCACCCCAGAGUUAACCUCAACCAAGGAGUGAGGGAGCUGGGAUAUUUAUACACCAGUUCCCCAUCACUCAAGGCUGAACACUGGAGCAUCAAUUCUCUAGUAUGUCCAGACUGCCAAACAGGCAGAGAAAAUAGGUUUUGGCACCAGAGAAUACUAUCUGGAAGCUGGAAGUCAGCCAUGCGCCCCGAAGUGCAGAGGGUGAGGAUCUAUAUAUGGACACUAUCUGCUUCAGUACCCCAGGUCAACACUGGAAAACCGGUGAGCCGAGUUAUGCUUUGUUUCAGACAUGCUUUCGUUAGCUCCCUUAGUAUGUCAGGAAGUAAACUGGAAUUAACUGCCAACGUUGGUAGAAUGGGAGGUUUCAUGUAACAACCCCAUUUCCAGUUUCUGUUGAAAAAUAAGAUCUGGCAACACUGGGCCCAAAUCCCUGCCUGGCAAGAAUCAGCUGAGAGCAAUUACAGCUGCCCCUUUUAGAUGGGGCAUGAGCUCUCCGGACCCCAAACCCCACGAGAUCAUUGUUACUCAUAUCUAUUAGCUGGCCACCAAGACCUCUAAGUUGGAGACCCUCUGUUCUAAAAGUUUGUUGCCACUCUGAUCCCUCUGUGAGUAACAUAAACCUGGUACAUCUUGUAUGUUUCAUCUCUUCCUUCCAGAUCUGUGAAGUGUAUUGCUCCAUCUCUCCCAUCUCGACCUUUUUAAUCCCUCUUGGACUUUUGUCAAUGAAAGGAACCAGGAGACCGGAUCCAUUAAACCAUAUCCAGACAUCAGAGUUAUUAUAAACUCUUUCUCUCUGGGUCAGGGUAGUCAAUCUCAGACAUUUUAAAAUUUAAUUUUAAAAAUUUUAAAUACAAAAUGUUUUUCAUGAACUCAAGGCCAUUGGGGGGAAGUGAACUAUUUCCCUUUUUACUCCCUCAACCCCUUCCAAUGUGAAGCUCCAGUAUCUCCUCUCUCUCUCUCUCUCUCUCUCUCUCUCUCUCUCUCUCUCUCUCUCCACUCCAAACCUCGCCUCAUCUCCUUGUUCCUUAAUAUACUCAGUGUUCACAUUCAGGUUUUUCUAAUAAGUAGUUAAAUCCCCCCACCACGAACUCCAGCUCCCUGGCGUUUCACUGGGAGUCUCUCUCAGCCCUCCAGGGAAGCCGGCACUGUUAUUUAUUGUUUUUGUUUCAAAUCAUUAUUUAAUCAAGAACGGGGAAAAAAGGCAACCUCUCACUUACACUUCAAAAUUUAAUUUCAGCUGAAUUCUAAGAUCAAGAGGCAGCACGGCCUAAUAGGAUACAAAAAUACAAUCAAGAAGAGAAUUCCAAUUAAACUGAACAAGUCCAUUUACUGAGCUUCAAAUGGCCCCAUAGAGAGAGGCGGCUAUACAUUUUUUUUUCUUCCCUGCCAUAUGGGAGACUGGAAAUUCUCAUGUGAGUGUGGAGCUGUAUGGUAGAGCUUUUAGCUAGAGGGUUCUGGUUAUUCCUUAAAAAAAAAAAAGCUUUUGUUUCACAAAGACAUUAAGUUUAUUUUCCUUUCUGUUGUUCAUCUUCCUUAGUGCACUAAUUAGGAAGACAGCAAAAGAAUGGAUUCAUUGACCUGGUAGGAGUUCAUCUGGGAGGAGGAGGAGAUGGAGAAAGAGAAGGGAGAUGUGCCGGGCAUUGUGGGAAGACAACAAAGUCCUUUAGGGCUGGGGCUAUCCCAUGGGGCUGUGCACUGCAUUGAACCUUUGGUAGGCAGAGGUGGUCUGGCCUCCUUAUUAUUUUCCUUAAGCAGGAGCCAGAGGGAAUGACAGCUUCAGGCUCACCCUUUCUUUGAAGCCUCUCCUGAGGACCCCCUGCCCACCUGUUCUCAGAAAUCCCCACCGGGACCCAGUUAGAUACAUUAUCACCAGCCCAAAUUGAAACAAGAAAAAAUAAGUUCAAUGUAAUUAGUUUUUCAUCCUGCUAAAUACUUUCGAUUUGAAGACUCAUUUUUUUCUUCCAAGGUCGUGUCUUUCCUACUUCUUCUGAUGGUAAAAUCUCCCUUUAGUGAUAGAAAAUGGUGGUUUUUUCUGUUCUUCCUUGGCAAAAGUAAAAGUUGACAAUGCUAUGUCACUUCCCAUUAAACAAAACAAAACAAAACAAAACAAACAAAAACCAAUGGCCCAGAAAAUCCCCAAAUCUCAUUUCAUCCACCUUCUGUACUUUGGUUCCUCCCUUCUCUCAACUAUGAUGAUGGUAUUGAAUGUUGGAUAUUGUGUCUCCCAGUUGAGCAAGAGCUCAAAGGCUUUGCAGAAUGUGCAAGCACCUGGACUAGGGGUCAGAAGGCCUGAGCCAUCCAGAUUCUCCCUCAGCCCUAUUUUCCCUAUCUACAAAGGGGGAAGCAUAUUCCCAUCUCGCCUUUCUCCUGGGGUUGUUGUGAAGUUCACCUGCGAUCUUGGAUGGAUUCAGCUUUUUGAGGCUAAAGAUACUCCGAGAACAUCAUAUCUGGGUUUAUUUGGGAUAAGUUUAGUAAAGCUGCUAUGAUGACAAAAAAUAUUAUGGCAACUAGGAUACUUUGAGGGUUAUGUCCCAAGCAUUGGGAUACUUUUUUUCACACAGAGCAUAAGCUACAUGAGGGCAGGACAGUAGAUGCUUAGUGUUUAUUUUUGAAAUGAAUGGAUACCUUAUCUUACUCUAUCCUCAUAACAAUCCUAUAAGUAGGUAUGAUUAUUAUUAGCCCAAGGCACAGAUAAGGAUAUGAGGCCCAAAGACGUGAAAUGGCACAGAGGAGGUCAUGUAAUUAAACAUGUGGACUCUGAGGUCAGACUCCCUGGAUUCAAACCCUAGCUUCUCUGUUGAAUAGCUGCUUUUUACUUAUUUUUUCUUGGCUGGGUUUCCUUAUCAUAAAGUGGACAUAUUCAUGGAAGCUCCAUUGAAAAGCUAUUAUAAAAUUAAAUGCAAUGAUGAUGAUACAUGUAAAGAAUUGGCCUAGCACCUGGUGCAUAGUAGGUGCUCAGUAAACACCUGGUGCAUGGCAGGUGCUCAACAGGCAUUAGUUAUUGCUGUCACCUAGGGUCUCACAGGGAGAGAUCAAGAACUCCAGGGUGCCCAGAUCCAUUCCAAAGUUCAUGUCUUAAUCAUAUUGCCUCUUCCAGUUUACAAAUUUCAUGAGAUCCUCUUUUAUGGACUACGAGUUCUGCUUUUAUUAUUAUUGUUUUUGGUUUCGACAUUUGUACAGGUUUUUGUUGACAAGGAUUAGCAACUAUUGGCCCAGGCUGGAGGCAAGAAGAGGAACAAGAAACCUGCCAUUAUCUUUGGCCCAGCUCCAGACUUGAUCAGCCUCCUUCUAGAAUUCCUCUCUGGUUAUGAUAGACUUGAUAGAGAGCCCCAUAUCACAGGGAAAGGGCUUGGCUAAUCCUUGGAGCCAUGAGCCUCUCCAUCAUCCAAUCCACCUUCCCAUCAUCCAGCCCACCCUCCAUGCCAACUAUCAGGGUAAGCUUUCAAGGCACAAACCACAACUCAUAACAGUUCCCCUUUCUCCCAAUUUUGUUACAUUCCUAGGUACCAGCACCUCACAGGGCCUAUUUUCCCAUCUUCGAAAUGGUGAUAAUAAUUGCACCUACUUCAAAUAACUGUUUUAGGUACCAAAUGAGGCAAAAAUUAUGUAAAGUAUGUGACAGUGCCUGACACAUAGUGGUGUUUUCCCCUCCUUCUGUCCAUCAACAAUUGCAACCCAAUGAACUCCUAUGCAUCCUUCAAAGCCCAGCUCAAAUGAUCCUUUAUUGGUAAAGCCUUCUCAGACAUCAGGACAACAUUGUCUGGCCCUUACUCUGUGCUUCCAUUACACACUGUAGUUGCUUUCAUCACUGCCAGGAGUGACAUUCACAAUAUUCGAUAACUAGUUCGUUGUGGGUACUGCCCCACCACAGAGGAAGCUGGCUUUGAUGCUGAAGGGAAGUAAGUGUCACUUUUCUGUUUCAGGAUUUUGAGAAGAUCCAGAAAGUGCCAAGGGAGAGAAGGGAUGGCUAGGUUGACUGGGGUUGGGUGAGGUAAUGACAGGGCCUAUUUACCAACUGGCAUGAAAGUAUUUGAAUAUUUUAACAACUGGAGAAAGUACUGGUGCUCCUGACUCAAUCCCAGCCCUGAUUACAAAAUGAUCACACUAUAUUGCAGCAUUCUUCUGACUACUAGACUGUGAGCCCCUGGAGUUCAGGAAGAGUGUUUUUUUUUUUCUUUUCUUCUUUUUUUUUUUUUUUUACAAUCUCUCUGCCUCCCCAGUACCUUGAACAGAGAUGGUGGAGUGAAGAUAAGGACCAUGUGUGAGGUAAACUGUCUUGGGAUCUUCUAUUUGGAUUUGGGUGCUGACCAAGCAAGAGAGCCUCAGGUUAGCUUUAGCUCACCAACUAAGAUUUCCAUUAAGAACCAACCCCCAAAUUUGCAUAUUCAUAUAUGUAAAUAAGCCCCUUGAUAUUAUGCAACUGUCCUUGAGUUUUUAAAAAAGCUGUGCAUGUGAAAUAUCUGUAACCAAAUAUGGCAUAGAAAAUCCUUCAUGCUUGGGCUCCUCUUUACCUCCAGAGCCCAUAUCUUGCCAUGGAAUUUUAUCUCAACCCUCAACUCUAGUCUUUAUUUUCCCCCUUCAUUGGCUCACCCUUAGCUUUUCAGGUAAUUGUUACCUUCUCUGCCCAACCCUAACCCUAAUCCCAGUCCCCUCCCCUGUCUGCUAACCUUGCACCCCCAAAUAAGCAUCUGAGCACCAAUUGUUGUGCAUUGCCUUUAACUGUUUUUAACUUGUCUGUCUCGCUUCAUUAGAAGGCACAGGCUAUUUCUUUCUUAGUAAUUGGAUCCUGAGAUAAGUCAGAGCCUGACCCUUUGUAGAUGCUCCAUAGGUGUUUGUAGACUUAAAUGAAUGAUCAGACAGGUGAUUCAAUGAAAAUGACUCUGCUGUUAGCUUUAACAGAGAGAAAAACUUGGGGCUAGGAACCUUGGAAAACCUUUGAUCCAAUCUGGAAACUUCUUCCAUCUCUGCUUUUGUAAUAGAGAAGACGAGAAAGGGCCAUGCAUGAGGAGUACUCAAAGAACCAGAUCUGGGGCCAUGUGAUUCUUCCAGGAGCCAGGCAACCUUAAGUGGGGCAGAGUAGCCAUGUGAGCUGCAGCUACCAUUUAGGAUAGAAAGAAAUUGGUCUGGGAAGCAGGGGUCUUGGCUCUAGUCCCAGCCCAGCCUAUGCCUGGAACAAUACUACUAUUACUAUGACUACUACCACUGCUAUUACCACUGCUACUACUAUUGUGGCUACCACUAUCACCACUACUAUUACCACCACUACUAUCACCACUGCUAUCACCACUAUUACUUCUACUGCUGUUACUAUCACAAGCAGUAAGCAUUAUGCAGCAUUUACUUCUUGCCUGUUAUACUCUAAAACUUUUACUUACAUUGUGUCAUUGAAUUCUCAUAACAAUCUUAUGAGGUAGGUCUUAUUGCUAUCCUUGUUUUGCAGUUUUUGAGGAAACUGAGACACAGAAACUUGCUCAAGGAGUCACAGCUGGUAAGUGCAGAGCCAGGAUCUGGAAUGUUGUCAUCAUAUUAUUUGUCAAGUUUUGCACCUGUAUCAAGUACUGGGCUCAACAGCUGCCUUCUGAAGAAGAGACUGUUAUUAUCUAUAUUAUUAUUAUUUUAUUAUUAUUUCUUACAGAUGAGGAAAGUACAGCUCAGAAACAUUUAAGUAAUUACUACUAUCUCAGGGACAUGAUGUGACCACGAAUUAAUAAUUCCAUGUUUUUAAAUAACUCUGCCUUGCCAUGGCCCAUGUGAAUCAUUUCCUUUCUGUGAAUCUCAGUUUCCUUUCUUAGUAAUCAGAGCAUUAGGCUAGCUGAGCUCUUAAGGCCUCUCUUAUAGGUACAGGUGAACCCUGGUUUUUAGCUCUUCUGAUAGGGCCAGGCUCAUGAAGAACAGUGAGGCAUUGCACCUCAAAGCCAUUAAGAACCCAUGUGUUUUAGGAAAGCAAACUACCAAUAGCCAAUCUGGUAACCUCCCCAGCUUGUGUGGGAGGACAGACCCAGCUUUUUGUAACAUCUUGACAGACAUAUCUUGUUGGAAAACCAUCCCAGACAUGUAAGAAUGUAUAAGCCAGUUGCUUCCAAUGGCACUUUUUAGCUAGGGUCAAUUGGGACCUCCAGAUGGACCACCACAAAUACCAUGACCAGAGCAAUUAGGCAUCCUUUACUAACUUAAAAACAUUCCUCUACCUCUUAAUGCUCAUAUUUCAAAUUUAUCUUUACCUUUGCCACAAUCCUCCUGGGAGACAAGCGGGAUAAUCAUGCCCAUUUCUCAGGUGAGAAAGCUGAGGUUGAGAGGGGUAAAAUGACAAGUCCAGCCAAAACAAGACUCAAAUCUAGGCCUCUAUACUUUCUAUCUUGCUGGGAAGACCCCUUUUUGGAUAUUUGUGAGAGAGAGAGUACGCAGAUGGGCAUUUGCCAUCUGCAAGGACUCAGUAACCACAGACAUCUCUACCAAGAAGGAGUCUGGGGACAGUUGCAGAUGGUUCCAGGUAGGCAGAGGAUUUGGGUAAAAUUAGACCUUGGUUAUGCUGGGUGCCUUGACUGGUAAAGAAGAUUCCUGGAAUGCACUGCAGAUAAUUAUUGUGUCAACCAGGCCCAACCGUUGUCAUUGCUUUCCCUUUCUUGACAUCCCCACAAGCACCCCUGAACUUUUCCUUGCUUCCACCUCACCCUUCCUUAGGCACCAUCUACCUGAAAUUUUCAAGUUCACAUGUAGCUAGAGAAAACAGUCCCUUUCACAGCUGCCUGCUGCAAUUGUAGACCCUAUCAAUGUUGACUCUCUUCCUGUUCGUCUGUCUCUUUAGAGUCUACAAAAGGCCUUCACGUACUUUAUCUUAUUGGAUAGUCCCAACAAUUCCAUACGGAAGUGGUAUUUACUUCAAGUUUACCAAUGAGAAAAUGGAGAUUAAGUAAUUUGCCCAAAGCCACACAGCUAGGAAGUGGCCAAGCUAGGACUGAAUUCAGAUCCAUUUCUAAGUCUCUUGCUCAUGGUGUCAAACUAUAUGAAGUCAAAUUCCAGCUUGUCCUUGUUGACUUGGGGCAGCACUGCUUAAUUCUAUUCAAUGCUGGGUUGCUAAAUUGGAUUAACUCUUGCCUUGCUCUGGGGCUUUACCCCAGCCCUUAACCUCUCUGAGCCUUGAUUCUUCUUUCCUAUCUGUAGAAGGGACUAGUGAGAACAGCUGUGCCCUCAACUCCCAAGACCUUGUGUGGCUACAUGAGAGGAUGUAGGUCAAGAGCUAUGACCUCCUUGGAAGAAAAUUCUCAUAUAAAUUCAAGGUCAUGUUUAUAGGUGAAAUGAAAUCCCAGCUGCCAACCAAUGCUGCCAGCCAGCUGGCAUAAAAGAUGCAGACUUCAUGUAAAAGCUGGAGUGCCUCUGUUAUGUCAAAGAGCCCUUCUUUUCCUUUCUCUCCCAAAAACAAACAAACAAACAAAAAAUCCUCCUAUGGUAUCUUAAACAUGUCUUCCUGCAGAUAUCACUCUGGAGACAGGUAUUUAUUUGUCAACAUUCCCCUGAUAAAAAGACUGGGUAUUUAGUUUUUCUCCCCCUGCCCCCCAAAAUCCCCAAGCCAGUGUUGCCAAAGUCUGGUGAAUGAUCAUUUGGUUCAUCAUUAAUGAGGUCUGGAGCCAGUGGGAUAUUUUGUCAGAAAUUGAAUUAAAGUGUACCAUACACUGCCCUGAACUUGUGCCUCCACAUUCCCCAAGUGUCGUGGCCAAGGCUGGCAGAGGAGGCUGUGAAGAAUACUUACUACACCCCUGGCUGACAGGUAGCCAAGCAUCUGGAGGGGUUGACUGGGCGGGCGACUGGACUGGGCCUCAGGGCUGUCCUUGCAGAGGGUCUUGGAGCAGCGGCGGGAGUGCCUUCGGCGGGACUUCUGCCCUUCCUCAGGGGACCGGCCGCGGUGCCUGGGGAUGGGGGAGAGAGACCUGAGGGUCUUUUGAAGGGGAGCAUGGUAGGGAGAUGUAUGCAGGACCAACAGGAUCUGAGGAUGAUAAAGUGUGUUUGGGGGUGUUUGUAUAUGUUCAUAUGUGAUAUUGUUCCUAGGUAUGUCUGCAUGUGUGUGUAUGAAAGCUGGACUGUGUGUAUAUUCAUUUAUUUAUUCAUUCAUCCAUUUAACCAUCCAUUCAUCCAUUUAACCAUCCAUCCAUCCAUCCAUCCAUCCAUCCAUCCAUCUGUCUAAGCAACCAUCUAUUCAUCCAUCUAACUAGCCAUCUCUCAAUCAUCCAUCCAUCAAUCCAACCAAUCAUGUAUCCAUCCAUCCCUCCAUCUAACCAUCCAUCCAUCCAUCCAUCUGUCUAAGCAACCAUCUAUCCAGCCAUCUAACCAUCCACCCAAUCAUCCAUUCAUUCAUCUAUCCAUCCAUCCAUCUAUCUGUCUAAGCAACCAUCUAUCCAUCAUCCACCCAUCCAACCAUUCAUUCAUCUAUCCAUCCAUCCAUCCGUUCAUCCACUCAUCCAUCCAUCCAUCUAACUAUUCAUCUAUUCAUCCGUCCAUCCAAUCAUCCAACCAUCCAUCCAUCCGUUUAUCCAUCCAACUAACCAACCAACCACUCAGCCAACCAUCUAUGCAUUCAUCCAUCCAUCCAUCCAUCCAUCCAUCCAUCCAUCCAUCCAUCCAUCUGUCCUUCCUUCCAUCUGUUCAUCCAUCCAACUAACCAUCUAACCAUCCAUCCAUCCAUCCAUCCAUCCAUCCAUCCAUCCAUCCAUCCAUUUGUCCAACUAACCAUUCAUCCAUUCAUCCAUCUAACCAUUCAGCCAUUCAUCCAUCCAUCUACCUAACCAACAAUCUAUUCAUCCAUUCAUCCACCUAUCCAUCCAUCUAUUCAUUCCUUUAUUUAUUCAUUCUCUUACUUGUUCAUUUGACAAAUACUACUUCAUGUACCUGGAACUGCUUUAGGGUCUGAGGAUGCAGCUUUAAAAACAGAAAAGGUCCCCAUCCAGAUUCAGUUAUUCAGUUUAAUGUCACUUGUGUACCUCUCUGAUUGUCUGUCAUGUGACUAUGUGUAUGUCUGGGUGUGUCCAUCUGUGUUUCCAUGUGUUUGUCUAUAAAUGUAACUGUGUAUAACUGUGUGUCUUUGUGUAUGUGACUUUGCCAUCUGUGAAAUAAAGACAUCCUGUUGACUGUCACCCAAAACUUUAGUGAAAAAAAAAUGGCUGACAAAAAUGACAGAGAUGCCUUCUGCAAGUUUGUCACGUCUAGAUCUGGCUGCUUGGUCUGCAGUAAAAACCAAAGGCAUGUCUGACUUCUUAGAAAGGGCAUGCUUAGACUCUGCAUAUCUUAUUAGUUAUCUGAGCCACCAAAGUAAUAAAAAUAGCACAUUAUGGAUUUGCAAGGUAUGUAUACACCUCUCGAAGCAGUUUCACAGUUUUCCCUACAACUUGAAGACAUAGACAGGGCAAGGUAUUACUUUCCCAUUUUACAGAUGAGGGAGCCGAAGCUCAGAGAUGUUUAGGGAUCUUCCUGAGGUCAAACAGCCUGAAAGUGGCAGAGCAAGGGCCAGGGCAGUUUUUUGCCCCUCUAGGAACUAGCGCCUGGGAUUCAUGCCCUGGAGUGCCCCUGACUGCUCUGUGGCUUGAAAAUCAUGUUUCUACUGAAUGUGUAACCUGCGUGCCAGCUCUCAGUUUGCUUCCAUUUCUGCUAGGAAGCUCCUCAGCUCAGUAGGCACUGGGAGCUCAGAUGCCAACACCAUCAGGAGGAGAUGGGACAGCAGAGGAGGCCCGGGGUAGUGUUUGUGAUGUUAACCAUUUAUUUAACAGGUAAGUUGCUAAAGCCUUGUAUGAUUCUCUGGCCCAGGCCAGUAGGGCUUAGCUGCCGAGAGAUAAUUCAGCCUGGGGUGUAGGUGAAGUGCUCAGGCUGAGUCACACUAACCUGGUGCCUAUUCCAGCUCUGCCAGACACUUCCUAGCUAUGUGACCUCGCUCAGAUCCCUUUGCCCACCAAAAGGCAGUUGUCUCUGCUGUAACAGAUCAGAGAUGUGUUUUAGCUCAUUUGGCCAAUGUCCUCCAGAAAAAGGCCACCAGGAGUCCACCUGGGGUUGAACAAACAUUGUUGUCACUCCUUCAUACCAUAGGGAAGUUUCAGGCGUCUCUGUAAGGGGGUGUUAAAAAGAACCUAUUAUAGGCUUUGGGCUGGUGAUAGGUGGUUUGGGGAGCAUUUACAGAUCUGGAGCUUUGUUCAGAAUUGGAUGCUGCCAGGAAGUGGGGGUAAUUCUGACUGGGUGUCUUCAUCAGUCUUAUUUAGAAAGAGGGAGGACUAGACCGAGGCUAAGGCUGACUGCCGAGGAAGCAGCAGUCACUCAUAUUAGGCAGGGUAGAGAGAUGCUUGGUCACUUUUGUGUUUUGCGGUGUUCUCAUCUGGGCUCAGACUUGAUUACAGAGGGGGCUUAGUUUUGUCUUGAGCAAUCAGGGCUGCAGAGUGGCCUUGUUGGAUGGUGAUAUUCUUGGAAAUUAUUGAUGUUCAGCAGAAACACCAAGGCCUAAUUGUGAUAGUAGGUACCAAGGGCCUCUUCCUCAAAUGCUUCCCACACAUCACCUGGGGGGAUUUAAAAAUCUCACUGUUCUGGUCUCAUCUCAUCUGGAUUAAAUCAGAAUGUUGAGAGGGUGGGAUCCAGGCAUUGGCAUCUUUUAAAACUUCCCAAGUGAUUGAAAAGGGCAGCCGAAGUAGACAAGCACCAGCAUAGCACGUAGUAUUAUCAGAAUGAUGAGAGAGAAAAUGUAUUGAAAAUCUUAGCACAGUGUCUGACACAGAGCAGGAUUUGGGUAAAUAUUCCUCUCCUGCCUCCUCUUUCUCCUUCUCCCCCUUCUACCUUCUCCUUCUCCCUUUUUCUUCCUUUCUUUUCUUUUCUUUUUUUUUUUUGAGACAGACUUUCACUUUUGUCACCCAGGCUGGAGUGCAAUGGUGCAAUCUUGGCUCACUGCAACCUCCGUCUCCUGGGUUCAAGUGAUUCUCCUGCCUCAGCCUCCCGAGUAGCUGGGAUUACAGGUGCCCACCACCACACCUGGCUAAUUUUUGUAUUUUUAAUAGAGACAAGGUUUCACUAUGUUGGCCAGGGUGAUCACUAACUCCUGACCUCAGGUGAUCUGCCCACCUCGGCCCCCCAAAGUGCUAGGAUUACAGGCGCGAGACAUUGUACCUGGCUCCUCCUCCCUUUUCCUAUAGAUAUUCUGCUUUAUUUGGGAAAAGUGGGGCCAGGGCAAUGACAUUUUAAAAUCUACCCUUGUGAUGUGAACGGAGAGUCAAGUGUGAGAUGCAUUUCAGAAAGAAAAAAGCAGCUCCUCACAUCUGGAAGCUGGAGGUCUCAGUGUCCCCAUUGAACAUCAACGAUUCCAAACACCAAUAAAGCCCCAGUUCUUUUUUUUAAAUUUAUUUAUUAUUAUUAUACUUUAAGUUUUAGGGUACAUGUAUACAAUGUGCAGGUUAGUUACAUAUGUAUACAUGUGCCAUGCUGGUGUGCUGCACCCACUAACUCAUCAUCUAGCAUUAGGUAUAUCUCCCAAUGCUAUCCCUCCCCCGUCCCCCAACCCCACAACAGUCCCCAGAGUAUGAUGUUCCCCUUCCUGUGUCCAUGUGUUCUCACUGUUCAGUUCCCACCUAUGAGUGAGAAUAUGCGGUGUCUGGUU